UUUCACCACUUUGUGUGUCCAAGGACCACCUACUUUUUACAUGUGACAAGAACUACCCACCUCCACUCUUCAGGAUAGAACAUGCUGAAGAAAAGAGUUGCAAUGAGAAAAUAUAUGGGAACAAAAUACCUGUGCAAUGCAGAGGUCUGCAUAACUGAACCACUCAGAGGAAAAAAAUUGCCAUUUCAGGACACCUCCUACAUCUGAAGAAAUAUGCAUUGAUCUUGCAGAACUUUUCUCCUCCAAAUAAAAGUCAGUAUGAUAACAACUACACUAUCAGAAGUCUAAGCCAAAGGACACUUCAGUUAUCCAAUCUUGCAACAAAUACAUUUAAGCACUUAAUAUGGGCUACUGUUGGUACUAGGGGCAUUGAGAACUUCAGAUUUGAUUAACACCCAAGAGCUGCUACCAUAAAAUAAACUAGGCAGCUACUAGGCAAUAAGAUGAGGCACAUGUGUAAAACUUCUGCUUUUAGCUUGGUGAAGAGUGGUUACACAGCCAUUAUUACAAAAAUUACAUUUUUCCACAAAUAAAGACAUCACUUUUCUAGAGAGUA
This 556-nucleotide long non-coding RNA is filed under the name Pan troglodytes (chimpanzee). RNAcentral's name for it is "lincRNA". Lineage: Eukaryota; Metazoa; Chordata; Mammalia; Primates; Hominidae. The record is from RNAcentral.